AUCGCUUCUCAGCCUUUUGGCUAAGAUCAAGUGUAAUUAAAAACAGAAUUUCGUCACUUAAAAUUUUUAUAAAUCCUCUCUGAGCCAUGUUCUUUCAGGAAUUAAGAAGUUUAUUUGUCUUUAGUGUCAAGGUAGAAUGUACAGACUGCUUGUCAAUCCCUAUUUGUGUUUUCAUGUCACAACUGGGGGAAAAUCUU
Small nuclear RNA from Leptonychotes weddellii (Weddell seal), 197 nucleotides. RefSeq annotates it as U2 spliceosomal RNA. Lineage: Eukaryota; Metazoa; Chordata; Mammalia; Carnivora; Phocidae. The record is from RefSeq and is a predicted model, not a curated record.